CCUAUAGGCCCCAAUUAUAACUCUGGUCCUGGUCUAGUUAUAUUCUCCCUAUAGGCCCCAACUAUACCUCUGGUCCUGGUCCAGUUAUAUCCUCCCUAUAGGCCCUAACUGUAACUCUGGUCUAGUUAUAUCCUCCCUAUAGGCCCUAACUGUAACUCUGGUCUAGUUAUAUCCUCCCUAUAGGCCCUAACUAUAACUCUGGUCCUGGUCUAGUUAUAUUCUCCCUGUAGACCCUAACUAUAACUCUGGUCCUGGUCUAGUUAUAUACUCCCUAUAGGCCCUAACUAUAACUCUGGUCUAGUUAUAUUCUCCCUAUAGACCCUAACUAUAUCUCUGGUCUAGUUAUAUCCUCCCUAUAGGCCCUAACUAUAACUCUGGUCCUGGUGUAGUUAUAUCCUCCCUAUAGGCCCUAACUAUAACUCUGGUCCUGGUCUAGUUAUAUUCUCACCAUUGGCCCUAACUAUAUCUCUGGUCCUGGUCUAGUUUUAUUCUCCCUGUAGACCCUAACUAUAACUCUGGUCUAGUUAUAUUCUCCCUAUAGGCCCUAACUAUAACUCUGGCCCUGGUCUAGUUAUAUUCUCCCUAUAGGCCCUAUCUAUAACUCUGGUCUAUUUAUAUUCUCCCUAUAGACCCUAACUAUAACUCUGGUCCUGGUCUAGUUAUAUUCUCCCUAUAGGCCCUGACUAUAACUCUGGUCCUGGUCUCAUUAUAUUCUCCGUAUAGGCCCUAACUAUACCUCUGGUCCUGGUCUAGUUAUAUCCUCCAUAUAGGCCCCAACUAUAUCUCUGGUGUAGUUAUAUCCUCUCUAUAGGCCCCAACUAUAACUUUGGUCCCGGUCUAGUUAUAUCCUCCCCAUAGGCCCCAACUAUAACUCUGGUC
Molecule: long non-coding RNA, 879 nt
Filed under: Salmo salar (Atlantic salmon)
Lineage: Eukaryota; Metazoa; Chordata; Actinopteri; Salmoniformes; Salmonidae
Description: lncRNA (ENSSSAG00000098054.1)
Source: RNAcentral